AGGGGUCUGGUUUCGAGUGGUGGGUAGAUAUUUAGUUCAAUUGCAUCUAGCACCAUUUGAAAUCAGUACCUCU
Non-coding RNA from Octopus bimaculoides (California two-spot octopus), 73 nucleotides. Lineage: Eukaryota; Metazoa; Mollusca; Cephalopoda; Octopoda; Octopodidae. The record is from Rfam.